RNAcentral lists this long non-coding RNA (1690 nucleotides) under Brassica napus (rape). RNAcentral's name for it is "long non-coding RNA (BNAP_LNC009671)". The record is from RNAcentral. Lineage: Eukaryota; Viridiplantae; Streptophyta; Magnoliopsida; Brassicales; Brassicaceae.
UAUGACUAAUGAUCAAGGUAAUCAAUCAAACACAAAUGAUAUAAAACAAGAUUAUUUUUAUUCCAAAAUGGUUUUUGAUUUGAUAGAUAACCAGAUAUUCCAUUCCUUAGGUCUAAACCCAACAAUCUUGGGCUGACCCAGCCUGCGGUAUAAUGUCUGAUGGAUCAAAGCAAUAUAAUGUCUCGGCCGCAACCGUCUCCAGCCUGCGGUCUUUACCCGCGACCACUACAUCAUGCGAUCAUACACCGCAAAAUCAACUGGACACUUUCGACGACACACGGCCGCGGUCAUGACUUGCUCGCAAAGGAUGGUUGCGGUUAAGGUUCGUUUCGCCGUUACUUUGCCGCGGUCAGCUUCUUCCUGCGACGGUCGCGUGCGAAACCCGGUCAUCGUUUGCCUGCAAACGUUGCUUGCGGCCUGGGGCAUUGCUGCGACGAGUUCAUGGCCGCGGCUGGAUCCUUCCGCGAAGCUUCUCCGCGACCAAGCUUUAUCCAUGACGUCAAAUCUCCAUCGCCUGUUGGGUUCGAGCUUCGCCCCGGUGUCGUGCUCUCAUCUCGUGGUCUCCUUCUCCGUUGCACUGUAACAGGCUCGCCGCGUCGUCAAGCAGCCGUGACCACCAUUCCAAGCUUGUCGCAAUUCUCCACCACGGGAUCUAUGGUCCAAGCCGUCUCCUCCCCGCCGUGCCCAACUCCACCGUCGUGGUCGUGCUCAUCGUCGGAAUCAAGCUCGCCGUCGUCAACAAGAUCCGGCGAUAAGAACAAUCAUUCUCUCCAAUGGUGGGUUUUGGGGAUUUUGCAAUUCUGGCCCUUCACGUUUCGGAUAAUUAAAAUUUGACCCCAAAACUAUCAAAAUUUCAGAAACGUCCUCUUGAUUCAGCCCUUAAGUUUCAAACGUACACUCCAGCCUCUAAGAUAUGCAAAUGAAUACACUAAUGCAAUAUGUACAUCUAAAUUGCAAUCUAAAUGAUCAAUAUAGACAUUAAAUGGAUGCUUAGAGCUAUGAAAAACACAAGAUAUCAAAGACUUUUAGUGAUAAACCCCACAACUAUUUUUGAAUCGUAAAAAAACUUCUCAACUAAGUUUUCAACAUAAUAAACCCUUAAAGUAUGUCACCCUGUCACGGUUUUUUAGAGGAAGGUAACAUAUGUUAACAGAAGUAAAGUUGAGGGUUUAAUUCAUAUGACUUUUAAUUGAUGGUUUUUUUUUACGAUUUAUCUUUAGUUGAAGGGUUUAAUUACUUAAAACCCUUUCCUUUUCGGUAUACCUUGAUAUAUUUUUUGUACUAACUAUCAACUUUGAAAUGAAGAUAUAAACAUUUCUAAUCUGUUUAUAUAUAUAUCGUUUGGGAAGGUGAUAUGUGACCAUAUGGGAUGGGGAGUAAUUAAAGACGGGUCUUCCUUACAUAGACCACAAGAAAGCUAGCAACCAAAUUGAGAAUCUGAAGAAGAAGGUUAGAUGGAAUAUUCUGGCAGGAAGAGGCUGUACCUUUCUUCCAAUCAGUGACACUACCAAAAGAAUGCACUUCGGUGAAGCAAUGCUACCUCGAGCUAGCUAAGCUCGUCAGAAACUUGGAAAAGUGGAUCCUUACUUCAUCAAGUUUGCAGAUGGAAUGGUCACUUGGACCGAAGCAUGGGACGAGCUCAACACCCCAAAUGUAAACUAAAGCGCCAAAGAUGAAGUAAAAAAGAGUG